GUCCGUUCAUCCCUAAUGAGGACGCAUGAAAUCCAAGCAUGGAACGGGGCUUGGG
The submitters of this non-coding RNA (55 nucleotides) gave its source as unclassified sequences. The record is from Rfam.